Long non-coding RNA from Neofelis nebulosa (Clouded leopard), 615 nucleotides. RefSeq lists it as uncharacterized. The transcript is spliced from 2 exons. Lineage: Eukaryota; Metazoa; Chordata; Mammalia; Carnivora; Felidae. The record is from RefSeq and is a predicted model, not a curated record.
UAGAGAACUUUGGGAUUUUCUAAUUUAGUCCUUUUAGACUUGCAGAUGAGGAAAGUGAAGAACCAGAGGUUUUACAGGGGUGCUUAACACAUGAGCAUAAAGGUAUCUUGUUUUAGAUCCUGGCUCUGCUACUAUCUGUGUGACCUUAGGCCUCUAAAGUUCAGCUUCCUUACCUGUGAAAUGGUGGCAACGAUACAUAUCUUUUGGAGGUUUUGUGAGGAUUGAAGGAAGUAUGCAUUCAGCACAGUGACUGGCACAUAGGAAACACCCAGUGAAUGGUCACCAGUUUUACUGGAUAUUACAGGACGGAAGUUUUCUGAGCUAUCCUGGGCUUUUUCUGCUCUUGUGUCCCUGUAGAAGAAAUUCACCACAGAAUUUCUUAGAGCCUUAGUAUUACAUUGGACAGAAAGUAACAACCAACCAAUCUAUCCCCAACCUGAUGCUUUUCACCAAUUCUGGAGGAAGUUCAGGCAACUCCAACAACCAGUUCUGUUACACAGCUUUGGAAACUUGUCAGGAAUUUCAAAAGCUUUAUCUGGUAUCACAAAAAUGGCCCUGAAGGCAAUAUUCUGUUAGCUCUGCACUGUCCAAUAAAACUUUCUUCGAUGAUGGAAA